Molecule: long non-coding RNA, 976 nt
Organism: Scophthalmus maximus (turbot)
Lineage: Eukaryota; Metazoa; Chordata; Actinopteri; Pleuronectiformes; Scophthalmidae
Exons: 3
Source: RefSeq, a predicted model, not a curated record
UCGAUGCCACUUUCUAAAGUAACAUGGCCUGUUUACCUGUGUGUUUGGAAGAAUCCUGACUGGCCAGUUCAUGCUUGAAUUUCACCGGGGAGACAGAGUGACAGAAUGAGCAAGAGGAUAGAGGUGAACUUCAGAAUGUGUGGGUGGACACAGGAUAAGCUUGAAGGAGAAGAUAGUUGUGUCCCUGUGUCUUCUGAUUGGAUUCCCGGUUUAUCUGAGACUGAAAUCGUGCUUCCUUCUUGAGUUUCCUGGGUUGCUGCAUGUUUGAUUGCAUUCUCCAAUCCUCCCCUCGCCAUGAUGGAUCCCUGAUGCCAGGAGGACAGGUCCAGGCUUAUAGGCCAAAGACAUUUUGGAGCAGGUAGAGCCCAGAUGGCAGGAUUGCAACUGACCAGGCUUUGACCCUAACGCCUUCCAAUCGACAGCAUCACUACUCUUCAUUCACUGUGCAUGAAAGCCACAUUAAAGGGAAGAGAAAGACUUGUUUUGGACAGCUUAUAUAUCACUUUUCUUGGCCGCGCUGGUGAGAGAGUAGAUGAGUGAUUAGGUUUGCCAGCUGUCCAGUGAAUAAACUCCAACACUGAACACUUUCAUUGAGCAUCAUGACAUAUUCAUUACAAGGAUUGAUUUCAUAAAAGUGACUAAAAGCCCUGUAAAUGUUGCAUAAACUUCUGAGAUGAUGUCAGCUUAUUUAUUUACAUAUUGAUUUUAGCAGCAGUAAAAAGAAGACAUUCUGUUAUCCGUGUCUGCGCGAGCAGAAAUAGGAAGUCUCUGAUCCUGCGACAGACAAUCCGGCGUAGAAAAUCAAAACAGCUGCAGUUGUAAGUGUGUGGUCUGAGAAAAAGCUCUUCUCACUCUAUUGUAUUUGCCCUCGCUGUUUGUCCACUCUCCGGGGCUUUAGGCAGUGACCUUCGUCCGAGGGACAGUAUGCCUCUUUGUAAACCCAGACACAUUACAUCAGACGAUCGGAUUCUAUCAU